GACGAACGCUGGCGGCGUGCUUAACACAUGCAAGUCGAACGGAAAGGCCCUGCUUUUGUGGGGUGCUCGAGUGGCGAACGGGUGAGUAACACGUGAGUAACCUGCCCUUGACUUUGGGAUAGCUUCAGGAAACUGGGGCUAAUACCGGAUAGGAGCUCCUGCUGCAUGGUGGGGGUUGGAAAGUUUCGGCGGUUGGGGAUGGACUCGCGGCUUAUCAGCUUGUUGGUGGGGUAGUGGCUUACCAAGGCUUUGACGGGUAGCCGGCCUGAGAGGGUGACCGGCCACAUUGGGACUGAGAUACGGCCCAGACUCCUACGGGAGGCAGCAGUGGGGAAUAUUGCACAAUGGGCGGAAGCCUGAUGCAGCAACGCCGCGUGCGGGAUGACGGCCUUCGGGUUGUAAACCGCUUUCGCCUGUGACGAAGCGUGAGUGGCGGUAAUGGGUAAAGAAGCACCGGCUAACUACGUG
This 468-nucleotide ribosomal RNA is filed under the name uncultured bacterium. Its description in RNAcentral is "partial 16S ribosomal RNA". It matches the Rfam family "Bacterial small subunit ribosomal RNA", at positions 28 to 507 of the family's 1533-position model. The record is from RNAcentral.